GGUCUGUAGGUGUUGUGGCAGCACACGUCCUUGGUAAGGACGAGGCUCGGGUUCGACUCCCGAACGGACCU
Molecule: transfer RNA, 71 nt
Filed under: Rhodopirellula sp.
Lineage: Bacteria; Pseudomonadati; Planctomycetota; Planctomycetia; Pirellulales; Pirellulaceae
Description: tRNA-Thr
Rfam family: tRNA
About the family: Transfer RNA (tRNA) molecules are approximately 80 nucleotides in length. Their secondary structure includes four short double-helical elements and three loops (D, anti-codon, and T loops). Further hydrogen bonds mediate the characteristic L-shaped molecular structure. tRNAs have two regions of fundamental functional importance: the anti-codon, which is responsible for specific mRNA codon recognition, and the 3' end, to which the tRNAs corresponding amino acid is attached (by aminoacyl-tRNA synthetases). tRNAs cope with the degeneracy of the genetic code in two manners: having more than one tRNA (with a specific anti-codon) for a particular amino acid; and 'wobble' base-pairing, i.e. permitting non-standard base-pairing at the 3rd anti-codon position.
Source: RNAcentral